GAUGAACGCUGGCGGCGUGCCUAAUACAUGCAAGUCGAGCGAACGGACGAGAAGCUUGCUUCUCUGAUGUUAGCGGCGGACGGGUGAGCAACACGUGGAUAACCUACCUAUAAGACUGGGAUAACUUCGGGAAACCGGAGCUAAUACCGGAUAAUAUUUUGAACCGCAUGGUUCAAAAGUGAAAGACGGUCUUGCUGUCACUUAUAGAUGGAUCCGCGCUGCAUUAGCUAGUUGGUAAGGUAACGGCUUACCAAGGCAACGAUGCAUAGCCGACCUGAGAGGGUGAUCGGCCACACUGGAACUGAGACACGGUCCAGACUCCUACGGGAGGCAGCAGUAGGGAAUCUUCCGCAAUGGGCGAAAGCCUGACGGAGCAACGCCGCGUGAGUGAUGAAGGUCUUCGGAUCGUAAAACUCUGUUAUUAGGGAAGAACAAAUGUGUAAGUAACUGUGCACAUCUUGACGGUACCUAAUCAGAAAGCCACGGCUAACUACGUG
This 497-nucleotide ribosomal RNA is filed under the name uncultured bacterium. RNAcentral describes it as "partial 16S ribosomal RNA". It matches the Rfam family "Bacterial small subunit ribosomal RNA", at positions 28 to 507 of the family's 1533-position model. The record is from RNAcentral.